UACAGAGGGUGCAAGCGUUGUCCGGAAUGAUUGGGCGUAAAGCGUCUGUAGGUGGCUCGUAAAGUCUAAUGUCAAAUACCAGGGCUCAACCUUGGACCGGCAUUAGAGUACUCACGAGCUUGAGUAUGGUAGAGGCAGAGGGAAUUCCAAGUGGAGCGGUGAAAUGCGUAGAGAUUUGGAGGAACACCAGUGGCGAAGGCGCUCUGCUGGGCCAAAACUGACACUGAGAGACGAAAGCUGGGGGAGCGAAUAGG
RNAcentral lists this ribosomal RNA (254 nucleotides) under uncultured bacterium. RNAcentral's name for it is "partial 16S ribosomal RNA". It matches the Rfam family "Bacterial small subunit ribosomal RNA", at positions 524 to 776 of the family's 1533-position model. The record is from RNAcentral.